AACCUUUACACUGCACGACAGUGCGAUAAGGGAAUCCCAAGUGCGUAGGCAUAGAGCCUACGCUUUUGUCCACCGUAGGGAGGUGGACGAAUAAGGGCUGGGCAAGACCGGUGCCAGCCGCCGCGGUAAUACCGGCAGCCCGAGUGAUGGCCGAUCUUAUUGGGCCUAAAGCGUCCGUAGCUGGCCGCGCAAGUCUAUCGGAAAAUCCACCCGCUCAACGGGUGGGCGUCCGGUAGAAACUGCGUGGCUUGGGACCGGAAGGCUCGACGGGUACGUCCGGGGUAGGAGUGAAAUCCCGUAAUCCUGGACGGACCGCCGAUGGCGAAAGCACUUCGCGAAAACGGAUCCGACAGUGAGGGACGAAAGCUAGGGUCUCGAACCGGAUUAGAUACCCGGGUAGUCCUAGCCGUAAACAAUGCCUGCUAGGUGUGGCUCCCACUACGAGUGGGUGCUGUGCCGUAGGGAAGCCGCUAAGCAGGCCGCCUGGGAAGUACGUCCGCAAGGAUGAAACUUAA
RNAcentral lists this ribosomal RNA (515 nucleotides) under uncultured archaeon. RNAcentral describes it as "bacterial SSU rRNA". It matches the Rfam family "Archaeal small subunit ribosomal RNA", at positions 345 to 859 of the family's 1478-position model. The record is from RNAcentral.